Molecule: ribosomal RNA, 497 nt
Filed under: uncultured bacterium
Lineage: Bacteria
Description: partial 16S ribosomal RNA
Rfam family: Bacterial small subunit ribosomal RNA
Source: RNAcentral
GAUGAACGCUGGCGGCGUGCCUAAUACAUGCAAGUCGAGCGAACAGACGAGGAGCUUGCUCCUCUGACGUUAGCGGCGGACGGGUGAGUAACACGUGGAUAACCUACCUAUAAGACUGGGAUAACUUCGGGAAACCGGAGCUAAUACCGGAUAAUAUAUUGAACCGCAUUGUUCAAUAGUGAAAGACGGUUUUGCUGUCACUUAUAGAUGGAUCCGCGCCGCAUUAGCUAGUUGGUAAGGUAACGGCUUACCAAGGCGACGAUGCGUAGACGACCUGAGAGGGUGAUCGGCCAGACUGGAACUGAGACACGGUCCAGACUCCUACGGGAGGCAGCAGUAGGGAAUCUUCCGCAAUGGGCGAAAGCCUGACGGAGCAACGCCGCGUGAGUGAUGAAGGACUUCGGAUCGUAAAACUCUGUUAUUAGGGAAGAACAAAUGUGUAAGUAACUAUGUACGUCUUGACGGUACCUAAUCAGAAAGCCACGGCUAACUACGUG